UACGUAGGGACCGAGCGUUGUCCGGAAUCAUUGGGCGUAAAGAGCGUGUAGGCGGCCACUUAAGUCCUGCGUGAAAUCUUGCGGCUCAACCGCAAGCGGUCGUGGGAAACUGGGUGGCUAGAGUGCGGGAGAGGAGAGUGGAAUUCCCGGUGUAGCAGUGAAAUGCGUAGAUAUCGGGAGGAACACCAGUGGCGAAGGCGGCCUUCUGGACCAGUACUGACGCUCAUGCACGAAAGCGUGGGGAGCAAACAGG
RNAcentral lists this ribosomal RNA (253 nucleotides) under uncultured bacterium. Its description in RNAcentral is "partial 16S ribosomal RNA". It matches the Rfam family "Bacterial small subunit ribosomal RNA", at positions 524 to 776 of the family's 1533-position model. The record is from RNAcentral.